UCAUGCUAUAGGAGCGGCCGAUGUCUGAUUAGCUAGUUGGUGGGGUAAAGGCCCACCAAGGCGACGAUCAGUAGCUGGUCUGAGAGGACGAUCAGCCACACUGGGACUGAGACACGGCCCAGACUCCUACGGGAGGCAGCAGUGGGGAAUUUUGGACAAUGGGGGCAACCCUGAUCCAGCAAUGCCGCGUGUGUGUAG
This 198-nucleotide ribosomal RNA is filed under the name Ralstonia solanacearum. RNAcentral's name for it is "partial 16S ribosomal RNA". It matches the Rfam family "Bacterial small subunit ribosomal RNA", at positions 213 to 410 of the family's 1533-position model. Lineage: Bacteria; Pseudomonadati; Pseudomonadota; Betaproteobacteria; Burkholderiales; Burkholderiaceae. The record is from RNAcentral.